UCCAUUUGGACAAUAUAGGUCUUCUUUGUCAAUGGGCUGUUGGUUGUAGACAGGACAUGGUUGAUGGUAAGAUAGCUUGAUAGAAAGAGAAAUAGCCAUUUUACUGGAAUUUCAGUCAUCUCUUGAGAAAUACUGAAAGUGAGGGGGAUGAAGAAAAGAAGUGAAGUACUCGAGUGAAGAAGAUGAGAGGAGAUGGCAAACAAGUAAGUGUCCUUUGUGGUGGUAUUUAAGACUUAAAAAAUAUCCAUUAAAUAUGAGGGACCUGACUGUCUUCUUGUGUAGGUGAUAAAGGCGGUGGUUGUUUAAUGAAUGUCAGUUCUGUAUUGUGUUUUGAUGAGCUCGGCUGGCUGAUGGUCUAAGAAGUUAUUGGUUAUGGUCCUCAGUCUCAUACACUGAUUCAGUGUUCCUGUUACCAUUUUUAAUCCAGUAGCACAACGGACUAACUAUGGCACAUCACCAUCAAAUUGGGUUUUGAAAUGCAGGAAUCAACGGUGAUAAUAUUGGGUUUC
Molecule: long non-coding RNA, 509 nt
Filed under: Panax ginseng (ginseng)
Lineage: Eukaryota; Viridiplantae; Streptophyta; Magnoliopsida; Apiales; Araliaceae
Description: long non-coding RNA (PGIN_LNC013700)
Source: RNAcentral